UACGUAGGCAGCAAGCGUUGUUCGGAAUUACUGGGCGUAAAGAGUGUGUAGGCGGUGCUCCAAGUCUGGUGUGAAAUCUCCCGGCCUAACUGGGAGGGUGCAUUAGAAACUGGAAUGCUAGAGGAUGGGAGAGGUAAGCGGAAUUCCUGGUGUAGCGGUGAAAUGCGUAGAUAUCAGGAGGAACACCUGUGGUGUAGACAGCUUACUGGACCAUUUCUGACGCUGAGACACGAAAGCGUGGGUAGCAAACAGG
Molecule: ribosomal RNA, 253 nt
Filed under: uncultured bacterium
Lineage: Bacteria
Description: partial 16S ribosomal RNA
Rfam family: Bacterial small subunit ribosomal RNA
Source: RNAcentral